UGCAUGGACGGUGUCUCUGUAAACAGUAUC
This 30-nucleotide non-coding RNA is filed under the name Homo sapiens (human). Lineage: Eukaryota; Metazoa; Chordata; Mammalia; Primates; Hominidae. The record is from RNAcentral.